AGGGAGCUUGCUCCCGGAUGUUAGCGGCGGACGGGUGAGUAACACGUGGGUAACCUGCCUGUAAGACUGGGAUAACUCCGGGAAACCGGAGCUAAUACCGGAUAGUUCCUUGAACCGCAUGGUUCAAGGAUGAAAGACGGUUUCGGCUGUCACUUACAGAUGGACCCGCGGCGCAUUAGCUAGUUGGUGGGGUAAUGGCUCACCAAGGCGACGAUGCGUAGCCGACCUGAGAGGGUGAUCGGCCACACUGGGACUGAGACACGGCCCAGACUCCUACGGGAGGCAGCAGUAGGGAAUCUUCCGCAAUGGACGAAAGUCUGACGGAGCAACGCCGCGUGAGUGAUGAAGGUUUUCGGAUCGUAAAGCUCUGUUGUUAGGGAAGAACAAGUGCGAGAGUAACUGCUCGCACCUUGACGGUACCUAACCAGAAAGCCACGGCUAACUACGUGCCAGCAGCCGCGGUAAUACGUAGGUGGCAAGCGUUGUCCGGAAUUAUUGGGCGUAAAGGGCUCGCAGGCGGUUUCUUAAGUCUGAUGUGAAAGCCCCCGGCUCAACCGGGGAGGGUCAUUGGAAACUGGGAAACUUGAGUGCAGAAGAGGAGAGUGGAAUUCCACGUGUAGCGGUGAAAUGCGUAGAGAUGUGGAGGAACACCAGUGGCGAAGGCGACUCUCUGGUCUGUAACUGACGCUGAGGAGCGAAAGCGUGGGGAGCGAACAGGAUUAGAUACCCUGGUAGUCCACGCCGUAAACGAUGAGUGCUAAGUGUUAGGGGGUUUCCGCCCCUUAGUGCUGCAGCUAACGCAUUAAGCACUCCGCCU
Molecule: ribosomal RNA, 817 nt
Filed under: Bacillus safensis
Lineage: Bacteria; Bacillati; Bacillota; Bacilli; Caryophanales; Bacillaceae
Also listed under: 1 other name
Description: bacterial SSU rRNA
Rfam family: Bacterial small subunit ribosomal RNA
Source: RNAcentral